This 492-nucleotide ribosomal RNA is filed under the name uncultured bacterium. RNAcentral describes it as "partial 16S ribosomal RNA". It matches the Rfam family "Bacterial small subunit ribosomal RNA", at positions 28 to 507 of the family's 1533-position model. The record is from RNAcentral.
AUUGAACGCUGGCGGCAUGCUUUACACAUGCAAGUCGAACGGAAACAGGCCUUCGGGUGCUGACGAGUGGCGAACGGGUGGGUAAUGAACCGGAACGUAACCAGCGGUGGGGGAUAACGCAGCGAAAGCUGUGCUAAUACAGUAUGUGAUCUGAGGAUGAACGCGGGGGACCGAGCAGCAAUGUUUGGCCUCGCGCCUUUGGAGCCGCCGAUGUUGGAUUGGCUAGUUGGGGGGGUAAUGGCCUACCCGGUCGAGGAUCCGUAGCUGGACGGAGAGGACGGCCAGCCGCACUGGGACGGGGACACGGCCAAUGCGCCUGCGGGAGGCAGCAGUGUGGAAUGUUGGGCAAUGGGCGCGAGCCUUGUCCAACGAGGCCGAGUGUGAGAAGAAGGCCUUCUGGUUGUAAACCGCGUUUGGCAGGAACGAAACGGUGUCCGCUAAUACCAGGCGCGAAUGACGGUACCUGCAGAAGAAGCACCGGCUAACUACGUG